This 429-nucleotide ribosomal RNA is filed under the name Triticum aestivum (bread wheat). Its description in RNAcentral is "partial small subunit ribosomal RNA". Lineage: Eukaryota; Viridiplantae; Streptophyta; Magnoliopsida; Poales; Poaceae. The record is from RNAcentral.
AUGGCCAUCCAGCAUCUGCUCCUCAUCGUCUUUCUGGCUUCCGUCCUCCAAGCGACCACCUCCGACACAGCGUACGACCUUUUGGAGAAAAACAAAUUCCCGCGGGCUCUCCUGCCUCAGGGUGUGAAGUCGUACGUGAAUCAUGGAGGCGCCGUUGAGGUGACCCUCCCCGCCUCCUGCGACUUCAACGUUACGGUUGCCGGUGGAUCACACAAGAUUCGGUUUGACAGCAUAGUCAGUGGGGUUAUCCAGCCCGGAUCCAUAACUCAACUGGGCGGCGUGAGGAUCCAGUUUGAGUGGGAUUUUCUUGCAUUCCACACGGUUCAACGCGUCGGUGACAAGCUCAGGUUUACUGGUAGUGAGCAUGCAGCCACGUUCGACCAGUCAUUUCCGGUUAGCAACUUCGUGCAGAGCCCCAGGUGCAGCUAA